RNAcentral lists this ribosomal RNA (1485 nucleotides) under Lactiplantibacillus plantarum. Its description in RNAcentral is "bacterial SSU rRNA". It matches the Rfam family "Bacterial small subunit ribosomal RNA". Lineage: Bacteria; Bacillati; Bacillota; Bacilli; Lactobacillales; Lactobacillaceae. The record is from RNAcentral.
CGGCCCACAGGCAGAAGCACGAUCCUUGGCCACGCUGCUGGCAUUGAUUGGUGCUUGCAUCAUGAUUUACAUUUGAGUGAGUGGCGAACUGGUGAGUAACACGUGGGAAACCUGCCCAGAAGCGGGGGAUAACACCUGGAAACAGAUGCUAAUACCGCAUAACAACUUGGACCGCAUGGUCCGAGUUUGAAAGAUGGCUUCGGCUAUCACUUUUGGAUGGUCCCGCGGCGUAUUAGCUAGAUGGUGAGGUAACGGCUCACCAUGGCAAUGAUACGUAGCCGACCUGAGAGGGUAAUCGGCCACAUUGGGACUGAGACACGGCCCAAACUCCUACGGGAGGCAGCAGUAGGGAAUCUUCCACAAUGGACGAAAGUCUGAUGGAGCAACGCCGCGUGAGUGAAGAAGGGUUUCGGCUCGUAAAACUCUGUUGUUAAAGAAGAACAUAUCUGAGAGUAACUGUUCAGGUAUUGACGGUAUUUAACCAGAAAGCCACGGCUAACUACGUGCCAGCAGCCGCGGUAAUACGUAGGUGGCAAGCGUUGUCCGGAUUUAUUGGGCGUAAAGCGAGCGCAGGCGGUUUUUUAAGUCUGAUGUGAAAGCCUUCGGCUCAACCGAAGAAGUGCAUCGGAAACUGGGAAACUUGAGUGCAGAAGAGGACAGUGGAACUCCAUGUGUAGCGGUGAAAUGCGUAGAUAUAUGGAAGAACACCAGUGGCGAAGGCGGCUGUCUGGUCUGUAACUGACGCUGAGGCUCGAAAGUAUGGGUAGCAAACAGGAUUAGAUACCCUGGUAGUCCAUACCGUAAACGAUGAAUGCUAAGUGUUGGAGGGUUUCCGCCCUUCAGUGCUGCAGCUAACGCAUUAAGCAUUCCGCCUGGGGAGUACGGCCGCAAGGCUGAAACUCAAAGGAAUUGACGGGGGCCCGCACAAGCGGUGGAGCAUGUGGUUUAAUUCGAAGCUACGCGAAGAACCUUACCAGGUCUUGACAUACUAUGCAAAUCUAAGAGAUUAGACGUUCCCUUCGGGGACAUGGAUACAGGUGGUGCAUGGUUGUCGUCAACUCGUGUCGUGAGAUGUUGGGUAAAGUCCCGCAACGAGCGCAACCCUUAUUAUCAGUUGCCACCAUUAGGUUGGGCACUCCGGUGAGACUGCCGGGGGAAAAACUGCAGAAAGGUGGGGAUGACGUCAAAUCAUCAUGCCCCUUAUGACCCGGGCUACACACGUGCUACAAUGGAUGGUACAACGAGUUGCGAACUCGCGAGAGUAAGCUAAUCUCUUAAAGCCAUUCUCAGUUCGGAUUGUAGGCUGCAACUCGCCUACAUGAAGUCGGAAUCGCUAGUAAUCGCGGAUCAGCAUGCCGCGGUGAAUACGUUCCCGGGCCUUGUACACACCGCCCGUCACGCCAUGAGAGUUUGUAACACCCAAAGUCGGUGGGGUAACCUUUUAGGCGUCCAGCCGCAUAAGUUGGUCCAGGAUCAUGCUGGAUC